Molecule: ribosomal RNA, 640 nt
Filed under: uncultured bacterium
Lineage: Bacteria
Description: bacterial SSU rRNA
Rfam family: Bacterial small subunit ribosomal RNA
Source: RNAcentral
AGAUGGGCAUGCGUGACAUUAGCUAGUUGGUGAGGUAACGGCUCACCAAGGCAACGAUGUCUAGGGGUCCUGAGAGGGUUAUCCCCCACACUGGUACUGAGACACGGACCAGACUCCUACGGGAGGCAGCAGUAAGGAAUAUUGGUCAAUGGGCGCAAGCCUGAACCAGCCAUGCCGCGUGCAGGAAGACGGCCCUAUGGGUUGUAAACUGCUUUUGUCAGGGAAUAAACCUGUUUACGAGUAGACAGCUGAAGGUACCUGAAGAAUAAGCAUCGGCUAACUCCGUGCCAGCAGCCGCGGUAAUACGGAGGAUGCAAGCGUUAUCCGGAUUCAUUGGGUUUAAAGGGUGCGCAGGCGGAUUAUUAAGUCAGGGGUGAAAUCCCACGGCUCAACCGUGGAACUGCCUUUGAUACUGAUAGUCUAGAGUAUAGUUGAAGUUGGCGGAAUGUGUCAUGUAGCGGUGAAAUGCUUAGAUAUGACACAGAACACCGAUCGCGAAGGCAGCUAGCUAAGCUAUAACUGACGCUCAUGCACGAAAGCGUGGGGAUCAAACAGGAUUAGAUACCCUGGUAGUCCACGCUGUAAACGAUGAUUACUCGAUGUUGGCGAUACACAGUCAGCGUCUGAGCGAAAGCAAUAA